This 484-nucleotide ribosomal RNA is filed under the name uncultured bacterium. Its description in RNAcentral is "partial 16S ribosomal RNA". It matches the Rfam family "Bacterial small subunit ribosomal RNA", at positions 30 to 507 of the family's 1533-position model. The record is from RNAcentral.
AUUGAACGCUGGCGGCAGGCCUAACACAUGCAAGUCGAGCGGAUGAAGGGAGCUUGCUCCUGGAUUCAGCGGCGGACGGGUGAGUAAUGCCUAGGAAUCUGCCUGGUAGUGGGGGAUAACGUCCGGAAACGGGCGCUAAUACCGCAUACGUCCUGAGGGUGAAAGUGGGGGAUCUUCGGACCUCACGCUAUCAGAUGAGCCUAGGUCGGAUUAGCUAGUUGGUGGGGUAAAGGCCUACCAAGGCGACGAUCCGUAACUGGUCUGAGAGGAUGAUCAGUCACACUGGAACUGGGACACGGUCCAGGCUCCUACGGGAGGCAGCAGUGGGGAAUGUUAGACAGUGGGCGAAAGCCUGAUCCAGCCAUGGCGCGUGUGUGAAGAAGGUCUUCGGAUUGUAAAGCACUUUAAGUUGGGAGGAAGGGCAGUAAGUUGAUACCUUGCUGUUUUGACGUUACCAGCAGAAUAAGCACCGGCUAACUUCGUG